AACGUUACUCCAUUUUUGAACUUAAAGUGAUAAAGAAACUGGAAAGGAUUGAAUUAUUUCUUCUUCUAUUAGUUACAUCAAAGAGCUAAGGGGAUAAGUCAGAAGAAGGAAGAUUGAAAACCAGGACCAAGCCUUAAGCUUUGUUUGUUUCCCUAACUUUGUCCAGACCCGUCUCUGUUCGCCCCUCUAUAUAUUUUCGUAUGUUUCAUCCUUUGCUUCAGCCUGUGCAUGUGUUGUGGUAAGAUUUGGAUGGUGAGGAGUUGAAGCAUAGAUGGAGCUUGUUUUUGAAGUUAGCGGCUGAGAGGGGUGGUCCAGCAAUGGAUCUUGUAUGCUAGGAGAAAGGCUUGCGGCUCUUGGUUGAGUGGAGUUCUCUAGAGUUCAGCUAAGGUUUUAGGUCGAGCUUCAUGAAGAAGAAGGUUUCGUCGGGGUGAUUGGCAGCAUGGUGGUGGCUACUGGAGAAGGGUUGGCGGCUGAAGGUGUCGUUGUCUAGGGUUCAACCUAUGGUCGAAGAAGAAGAUGGGCAUCCAUGGAGUUCUAGGGUUUUCA
This 546-nucleotide long non-coding RNA is filed under the name Nicotiana benthamiana. RNAcentral's name for it is "long non-coding RNA (NBEN_LNC029812)". The record is from RNAcentral. Lineage: Eukaryota; Viridiplantae; Streptophyta; Magnoliopsida; Solanales; Solanaceae.